ACAGCAGCUGCCCCUGCAAAUGUCAGCGCCAGCCCAGUCAAAAGAGCUUGAAACCUACCAAGCCGGAGGACUGUGCUGUGCCUCUCUCGCCCACAUUUUCCCCAAGCACUCUCAGGAACCUGGCAACAGACUGAGAGAAAGGAAUGAAAGGAUGGAAGAAUUACAAGAUCAGGCACUGCUGUCUGUCUGUUCCACGGAUGUAACCACAGCACACGCGUGGCUCACGGUACUAGUGUGAUAAAUGCUUGUUACAUGAAGGCGUGAACAGGGAUGAGAAGAGACUUCCUGGAGAAACAAAAGGACUAACAAUCAGGAAGGGGAGGUGAUCGGGGCAGGAGUAAAGUGGACACCUCAGCAAAGCCAUUCGCUGUGAUCUCUGAUUGUGCAGUGUCAUGUCCUGUCACCAGAGCCCCCUCGUGUUUGAUGUUGGCCAAUGCCGCCAGCAUGAUCUAGCAGGCCAAAUCCUAAUCUACCAUUCUCUGACACCAGCUGGUCCCCUGGGUCGUCCACCCGAUGUCCCCCAUUCUCCCCACUUGGCCUCCCCCACAGGCUCUCGGCAAAGGACCGUGGGAGGCACCUGUGACACUGCCCUUUUCCUGUGCAGCUGUUUUUCUUCUUCAUUCUUUUCACUCCUCGUUACUCUUUUUUUUUUCACUCUCAGCCCACACAAAACUAGGAACUUUGUUAUUCUACUUAUUUUUCUGUACUCUGUCUGUUUGCACACAGAUGGAUAUCUGAGAGCCAGCGAACUUUCUUUACCUCCUAGUAUCAUUUCAUGAAAAUUAGUAGCACCUGCACAAUGGGGCCUUGGAGACAGGAAUAAAAGGAAAAAUCUGGAAUGGAAUCACAUGACGCAACAGGCUAUGAAGACUCCCUGCCCGGCUGCUAUAUGUCUGGCUUGCUGGACUUUGGAGAAAAGGCUGACCCUCCCCCAAAGCAGCCCAUUGCUGCCACUGCCCUAGGAACAGAGGGCCUGGAGCCAGGGCUUGACCUGGUACAGGAGCUUUUGCACAAGGCCGGCUCAAACCUCCAAACCUGGGGAAACAGGAUGCAUGGUGAAGUGAAGAAGAAAGAAAAUGCAUCCACCGUUCCUUCCUGUUGGUGUCAGCACGAUGAGGAAUAAUUACCUGGAUCUGGAAAGCAGGCGUGUGGGAGGCUGCAGGCCCCCCUGAUCUGUGUAGUUAGGCACUUAAUUUUUCAUCCUCCUCCUUCUCUCUGCCCUCCCGAAACCGCCGUUUUCAAAGGAAAAACAGAAAAACGUAUCUGGGUAACCCGUGUAAUACUGUUUACAUCAGCCCACUUGGCCCAGAAAGGAUACCAGCUCCUUACUGAUGCUCAGAUAACAGGGUUAGUGCUUAAAAAAAUUAUGCCUUGGGCCGGGUGCGGUGGCUCACGCCUAUAAUCCCAGCACUUUGGGAGGCUGAGGUGGGUGGAUCACAAGGUCAAGAGAUCAAGACCAUCCUGGCCAACCAACAUAGUGAACCUGUCUCUACUAAAAAUACAAAAAGUAGCUGGGCGUAGUGGCGCAUGCCUGUAGUCCCAGCUGCUCGGGAGGCUGAGGCAGGAGAGUCGUUUAGGCCUGGCAGGCGGAGGUUGCAGUGAGCUGAGAUUGCGCCACACUGCACUCCAGCCCAGGCGGUGGAGUGAGUCUCCAUCUCAAAAAAAAAAAUUCUGUCUCAUUCAUUAUCCAACUUUGUCACUGAUAGAGAAGGACAUAGAUCCAGAGAAGAACUUGUCCAGGUGACCCCAGGGCUCUUUCCCCCUCCAUUACUUUUUUUUUUUUUUUUUUUUGAGCCAGAGUCUGGCUCUGUCACCCAGGCUGGAGUGCAGUGUCACAAUCUUGGCUCACUGCAUCCUCUGCCUCCUGGGUUCAAGCUAUUCUCCUGACUCAGCCUCCCUAGUAGCUGGGAUUACAGGUGCAUGCCACCCCGCCCAGCUAAUUUUUGUAUUUUUAGUAGAGAUGAGGUUUUAACUUGUUAGCCAGGCUGGUCUUGAACUCCUGACGUCAAGCGAUCUGCCUGCCUUGGCCUCCCAAAGUGCUGGGAUUAAGGGCGUGAGCCACCGCGCCCGGUCCCCUCCAUUACUCCUUAAGUGUCCCUUAAAGACUGUAUUUAUUUAUUUGAAACAGAGUCUUGCUCUGUCACCCAGGCUGUUGUGCAGUGGCAUGAUCUUGGCUCACUGCAACCUUCUGCCUCAGCCUCCUGAGUACCUGAGACUACAGGCGGGCGCCACCACACCCGGCUAAUGUUUGUCUUUUUGGUAGAGAUGGGGGUUUCACCAUGUUGGCCAGGCUGGUCUCGAACUCCUGAUCUCAAGUGAUCUGCCCCCUUCAGCCUCCCAAAGUGCUGGGAUUACAGGCGUGAGCCACUGCGCCCAGCAAAGACUGUGUUUAAAAUACUACCUUUCUGUUAGGUACUUGUCAUUUGCCAAAAUUAAAUAAAAACAGUCUAGGAACCUAGGAACCUGUGAAGUCAGUACUAAAAUCUAUACCAAUUUACUCCACAAACCCCCAUCCUCCUCCUCGUUGGUUGAGUGUUUAAUAAAGCCAGGCGCUUUACCUAUAGUCUCAUUAAAUUAAAAACAAUCCUGCAUAGGAAGUCAGGAUCUCAAUUUUGCAGAUGAAAAGGAGGCUUAUCUGGGCAUGCCCAGCAAGGUCUGGGGAACGCCCCUUAAUGGAGUACUUGAAUUUGUCUGCAGGGAGAGGUGGCAUCACCGCACUGUAAAUAGUUUCCGAGGUCAAGUUUGGCUAGUGGCUUUUAGAAUUGGGGCAGAAGGAUGCCAUCCUACUCCCACCUUCAGAGGCAUCUCAGGUUCUGGAGCUCUGUGCUAACUAAGCCCACCUGUGGAGGGUGGCAAUGGAGUGGUGACAGGCGUGCAAGGUUUCACGUCUUUAAAGAAAAGACAGCUCCAAGGACAGAGAGUUUUUUGUUGUUUGUUUUGUUUUUUGAGACAGUCUCACUCUGUUGUCAGGCUAGAGUGUAGUGGCGCGAUCUCGGCUCACUGCAACCUCCACCUCCCGGGUUCAAGCGAUUCCCCUGCCUCAGCCUCCCGAGUAGCUGGGACUACAGGAGGCGCCACCACGCCCGGCUAAUUUUGGUAUUUUUAGUAGAGAUGUAGUUUCACCAUGUGGGCCAGGAUGGUCUCGAUCUCUUGACCUUGUGAUCCGCCCACCUCGGCCUCCCAAAAUGUUGGGAUUACAGGCGUGAGCCACCAUUCCCAGCCAAUUUUUUUUUUUUUUUUAAAGAGACAGGGUCUCGCUCUGUUGCCAGGGCUGGAGUGCAGUGGUGUGAUCAUGGCUCACUACAUCCUCUAACUCCUGGGCUCAAGCGAACCUCCCACUUUAGCCUCCGGAACAGCUGGAACCACAAGCGCACACCACCACAUCCAGCUAAGUUUUAAAAAACUGUUUGUAAAGACAGGGUCUCACUAUGUUGCCCAGGGUCAAGGUCAGAUUUGUUAAUCCUUCUGACAUUGUCUCCUGUUGGAGUUCUGGAUGUUCAUUAGUUCAUCACCAUGCAUGUGAUUCACACACUGUACUCAGAAACAUUCUUUUUUCUUGUUUUUGUUUUUUUAUGAGACGGAGUUUCUCUCUUGUCACCCAGGCUGGAGUGCAAUGGCACGCACGAUCUCGGCUCACUGCAACCUCCACCUCCCCGGUUCAAGCAAUUCUCCUGCCUCAGCCUCCCGAGUAGUGCCACCACUCCCAGCUUAUUUUUGUAUUAGUAGAGACGGGGUUUCACCAUGUUGGCCAGGCUGGUCUCGAACCCCGGACCUCAGGUGAUCCACCUGCCUCGGCCUCCCAAAGUGCUGGGAUUACAGGCAUGAGCCACCGUGCCUGGCCAGAAACAUUCUUUUUAUUCGUUUUUAUUAUAAUUGUAGUAAGGGCCCUGGUAGGGGAUUUGAACUGUUUCUUUCCACAGUGUGGAAUGAUGUCUAUAUACAUUACAGAAUGGAGAUAUAGAUAUCUAUAGAGAUCUAUAGAUAUCUAUAGAGAUCUAUAUAGAUAUCUAUAGCUAUAUAGAUAUAGAGAUAUAGAUAU
This 4039-nucleotide long non-coding RNA is filed under the name Homo sapiens (human). Its description in RNAcentral is "HSALNT0392552". Lineage: Eukaryota; Metazoa; Chordata; Mammalia; Primates; Hominidae. The record is from RNAcentral.